CAUUGAGAAUGGCGGCGAGAUCUGUGAGCUUAAAGGUUCCAUCUCUCCCGCAAAUAGUGGAGCAUCUUAUUGAUUGUUUGAAUUUUUUGAUUUCGUUUGCUUUAGAACAUAGGCUUGGUUAGUUUUAUGUAACCUUUUGUUUAUUUUCGUUGUUGGUUUGAUUGAAUAAGUUGCCAAAUGAUGAUUGAAAAUUUUGCGCAAGGGUUUUGAGUUUCGGAUGAUUGGAGUUUACUCUGGUCUGAAGGAACCGUGACAAAAUUAUUUUCUAAUAAUUCAUUCUGAUGGCAGCUCAAUCAUUGUUAGAUAUAUCAAAUUUCAAUUCGAGUUUUGGGUGCAUGGUUUGAUUCGGAUGGUUAAUUGUAGUUUGUUUUGUUAGUAGAAGCUUGGUUUUGGGGCAGCUUAAUGAAUUUUAGGAUUCAAGUUUUCAAAUCAUUUAGCCUAUAAUGUUCUGAAAUGUGUUGUGUAAUGGCUUUGAUUUCCUGAGGAUCUGACUAUAGAAUGUUUAAAAUCCUGAGGAACGGUGGGAAAUCAUGUAUUUGUGUUUCUUUUUUUUUUUAAGAUUCAGGUUCUACAAAUUAUGCUUAAAGGGCUUUGAGCUCCUGACCGCUUGUAUUAUGAGAUCCAAGAAAAUGUGAAAAGUCGUUUUUUUUUCCUUUCCCAUUUUGAUGGUUUGGGUUGCAUUUUACUGUUCUUUUAGUUAUCAUGACUAUGCUAGAUUCUGGUCUGGACAUAAGUUGCUUAAGAUGUGUGGAAAUUAUGCGUAAUGGAUUUAGAAUUGGCAAUUUGUUAUUUGAAGGAAUUCACUUCUAUAGAUAUCCUUUAAUGGCACCCGUUCAUGGUCAGCUCCAAAUAUGCAAGAAAUCGGAAAAUGCAUUAGUGUAGUCCUCUUUUCUGGUAUAUUGUCAAUACUCAAAUCUUACAUAAACUUUGUUUCAAGGACAAUGAAGCAUGUGGUCAAGAUUUUGAGCCUGCUGGUAGCUGUCUCUGCCUUUUAGUUUGCUCUCUUGCAGGCUGCAAUUAUGGCUCGUAGCCAAACAUAGUUGCUACCUAUAUACGUUGUAGUGUCCUUUGCUAUUAAUUGUUGGAAUCGGUUUAGUGCAGUUCCCUACCUCUCCUAAAGAAGCAGUUUUUCUGCAGCGGGUACUUUCAGUACUCUUUUCUUUCUUUGUUAACUCGAAUUGUUAAUUAAGGUUAAAUUAAGUUCUUGACUAGUGCUUUUGCUCCUAGCUGUUGUUAAUGUUGAUUAUGUACUAGUUUGUUUUGGUGCUAUUGUUAUAUUGCAGGAUAUUGCAGAUGCAAAAAGACUUCUUAAGCGCUAACGGAAUUGAUGUUGGAUCGGAUUUGACACAUUAUGGUUUACUUCUUUUCAACUCCCUAACCAGUGUAAUAGAAUACUUGGAGUCUUCGAUGGUUCAUAGAAAGAGUUCCCAUUUUCAUUAUGUACAGUCGUUUACUAUGUUUUUUUGAGAGAUGUACAUUGAGAAACCGGUGUUUGCAAUUGGAUUUUGUUU
RNAcentral lists this small RNA (1511 nucleotides) under Arabidopsis thaliana (thale cress). RNAcentral describes it as "ncRNA (AT3G07215)". The record is from RNAcentral. Lineage: Eukaryota; Viridiplantae; Streptophyta; Magnoliopsida; Brassicales; Brassicaceae.